Molecule: transfer-messenger RNA, 393 nt
Filed under: chicken gut metagenome
Rfam family: transfer-messenger RNA
About the family: Bacterial tmRNA, also known as 10Sa RNA or SsrA, is named for its dual tRNA and mRNA-like properties. Its role is to liberate the mRNA from a stalled ribosome. To accomplish this part of the tmRNA is used as a reading frame that ends in a translation stop signal.
Source: RNAcentral
GGGGAUGUUUUGGUUUUGACAGCACAAGACAUCGGUCUGUAAGCAUACCGGGGACGGCAUCCACCCCGUUAACAAGAUACCAGGCCAAUAACUGGCAACAACAAUUAUGCUCUCGCUGCGUAGUAAACCGGGUUUACUGCCUUAAUCGCGGUCGCCAAGGGCGAUAGCGACGAGUAUCCCGACAGGCUUUAUGCCGGCCAUGUCUGUCAUACGGGGUAUCAUUCAAGCCGGCUGCGGCCGCGGACUCCCUUAAAGCGGCUUAAGGAUUAGGGGAUAAGGUUACGAUGGCGCGUCUGUCCGCAGUCGUCUCACGAAAAACGUAGGCGGAAUAAGUAUGUAGAAAGCAUUCUGGUGCUGUGUUUGGACGGCGGUUCGAGUCCGCCCAUCUCCACA